This 1825-nucleotide long non-coding RNA is filed under the name Setaria viridis. RNAcentral's name for it is "long non-coding RNA (SVIR_LNC008365)". Lineage: Eukaryota; Viridiplantae; Streptophyta; Magnoliopsida; Poales; Poaceae. The record is from RNAcentral.
CAAGAAGUCUAGCAGUAGUCGUUCCAUGAUGUAUGAAGCUCCCCUUGGCUACAGCAUUGAGGACGUUCGACCUGCCGGAGGCGAGAAGAAGUUCCAGUCUGCUGCUUACUCCAACGUAAGAAUCAAUAAUCAUUGUUAUACUCUUCAUUCUACUUUUGUUGUUUCUGAUUUGUUGCUAACAUUGUCUUUUUCUACUGCAGUGCGCGAAGAAGCCAUCCUGAUAUCCCUUCCGUGCUUCCCCGUCCUAGUAGUUUAGGAUUUCUUUUCUAACGCUUUGAUUCUGACCAAUCUCUCUGGCCUGCUGCUUCCUGAUAAUCGACCAGUUCUCGAGUCUUGCUCCCUGCACUCCUCCCUCCAUCUCCAGCAUCGUUUUCUCACUCACCCGCUCCAAUGGCUGUUCUUUCUGCUGCUGACGCUCACCCGGUCUCAGCGAUCGGGUUUGAGGGCUAUGAGAAGCGCCUUGAGAUCACCUUCUCUGAGGCGCCUGUCUUUGUCGACCCUCAUGGGCGUGGUUUGCGUGCCCUUUCCAGGGCCCAGAUUGAUUCUGUUUUGGAUCUUGCACGGUGCACCAUCGUGUCCGAGCUCUCCAACAAGGAUUUUGACUCCUAUGUCCUCUCUGAGUCGAGCCUGUUUAUCUAUCCUCUGAAGAUUGUCAUCAAAACAUGUGGGACUACCAAGCUCCUGCUCACCAUUCCAAGGAUUAUUGAGCUUGCUGAAGAGCUGUCUAUGCCGCUUGCUGCUGUGAAGUACUCCCGUGGGAUGUUCAUCUUCCCCGGUGCACAGCCAGCCCCCCACAGGAGCUUCUCUGAGGAGGUUGCUGCCCUUAACCGCUACUUUGGUGGCCUGAAGUCUGGUGGUAAUGCUUAUGUGAUUGGAGAUCCUGCAAGACCUGGACAGAAGUGGCACAUCUACUAUGCCACCGAGUACCCAGAGCAACCCAUGGUUAACCUUGAGAUGUGCAUGACUGGUCUGGACAAGAAGAAAGCUUCAGUCUUUUUCAAGACUUCUGCUGAUGGCCACACAACGUGUGCCAAAGAAAUGACCAAGCUCUCUGGUAUCUCUGAAAUUAUUCCUGAGAUGGAGAUCUGUGAUUUUGACUUUGAACCCUGCGGCUACUCCAUGAACGCUAUCCAUGGCUCUGCUUUCUCCACCAUUCAUGUGACGCCUGAGGAUGGUUUCAGCUAUGCCAGCUAUGAAGUUAUGGGCUUCGACGCCACUGCACUUGCCUACGGCGACCUCGUGAAGAGGGUCCUCAGGUGCUUUGGCCCUUCGGAGUUCUCUGUUGCUGUGACUAUCUUUGGUGGGCGUGGCCAAGCCGCGACAUGGGGCAUGAAGCUUGAUGCUGAGGUUUACGACUGCAACAACAUGGUAGAGCAGGAGCUGCCCGGUGGUGUGCUUAUCUACCAGAGCUUUUCUGUUACUGAAGAUGCUAUUGUUGGCUCGCCCAAAUCUGUUCUUCAUUGCUUCGAGGGUGAGAACCUGGAGAAUGCUGCUCCUGUGAAGGACGGCAAACUGGCUAAUCUUCUCUGCUGGGAGGAAGAGGAUGCCAUGGAGGAGAAGGACGGCGUGCUUGCUGAGUAAGACUGGGGAAGGUGUCGAUUUGCUGCUGAGUUAUUUUUUUUUCUAAAUGUUGCGAUUGUCGUUUGGUUAUUGUGUGAAGCAGCCAAGCCAGGCUAUUUAUUAUGAAAAUGAUCGAUUGUAAGCAUGGGUUCUGAUGUGCCACAUGCUAAUGAUCAAUCUGAAUAAGUAUACCGCUCUAGGUGGUCAGCUGCGUCUACCACAAUGAGCAUACGUAUGGAGAAAUGUCUGUCAAAGCAAUUUAUGA